UUGAAAGGGAAACGAUUGAAGUCAGUCGUACCAACGGGAAAUCAUCCUCUUGAGCUCGGUAAAGUGGGUUUUGAAGAGUUNCAAACACUUCGGAUUCGCGGGAUUGGGAUCUCCUGGCGUUCUAUUUUGUACGUUUCAUCAACAUCUGUUUUGAAUCUCAUAAAACGAUNGGAGGAACGUAGCUUCGAUCUCGUAAAGAAGUGUUAUAGCCUUCGGUAGAUGUGAUGUUUGAGACCGAGGAUUGCAACGGACGAAAACAGGGCUAAAAGUCNGNNNNNUAUUGCAUACAAUGAAUNUUGAAAGCUCNCNCAAANNUUAAUUCGAAACGCUCAAAAGGUGAGAGUACGACUGACUCGUUAAGGAUGUUGACGUA
This 373-nucleotide ribosomal RNA is filed under the name uncultured Glomeromycotina. Its description in RNAcentral is "partial large subunit ribosomal RNA". The record is from RNAcentral. Lineage: Eukaryota; Fungi; Glomeromycota.